This 1032-nucleotide long non-coding RNA is filed under the name Mytilus galloprovincialis (Mediterranean mussel). The record is from RNAcentral. Lineage: Eukaryota; Metazoa; Mollusca; Bivalvia; Mytilida; Mytilidae.
UAUGAAUUAUUGAGAUUACAUGUUUUAAUUUAAUUAGGUUGACAUUGUUUGUCUAUGUCUCUACCACGAGUGUACUUUGUAUUAUUAUAUAUAGCAAGGAGUGUGUGUAUUUUAUGUCAUGAUUACCUAUGUAUUGUAUAAAAGUUUUUAUAUCGUAAGUUCCAGAGUAACAGAAAGCAUGGUUCUAUGACCGGCAGCUUGUAAUAAUAUGUACGUUACUUUCACUUUUGCUUUAACCGGAAGUCACGUAUUGUGAUAAAUAUAGUGACAAUCCUGAGAAAUCGUAUAAAUUGUAUGCUGUCUUGGACAUGUUUUAGUUAUAUUUUUGUAUGUUUUUCAAAAUAGAGAUAAAUGUUAGAGUAUUUUAAGUAAGGUUUAUGUAGAAUAGUUUUAUUAUAAAUAUUGUAAUAGCUUCUUACGUACUAUUUUUGCACCGACGUUGCGCACCUUUUCACUGUAAUCGGGCUGUUAUGACGUCGUUUUCUAAGACGUUAAGUGCAAAAUUAUUUACCUAAUAAGGAAGAUUCCUUAUUUGGUCAUGGAUUUUACCCAUAUUUGGAAUUUCUCUCACGCGAAAUAACAACACUAGCGUAAGAUUGAUAGUAUUUUACGUCAGUUCCAGCUUGUCCCUAGUUCCGGAUAGCAGUAAAAUAAACUUGUCUCAUAACUUUCAAGGUACAGUUUUUCUAAAGCAGCAGUUUAGUUCCUGUAUAUUGCACUAUAUAUGCAAUAUAACUAUUUAUACAGUUCAUAUAUAAUCGUUCCAGUUUCCAGUUUUAAACGGAGGCAGAAUUUUAAUAGCGUUCUUGUUUUCUAAAGAUUCUAAGUUUUGAGAAUAAAGUUUAAUAAUGAAUUUUAACUUUAAAUAGGAAAGGUGCGUCAACUCGGCAAAAGUGGCCGUUUGUUUCGAAUAGUAGGGUGGCUGUUUAUAUAUCUUUUUAUAGUAUAAAAAGAGAGUUACGAAAAUAGGGGCUUAUUUAUUUGUGUAGUAUUUAACAUGUAUUUAUAUGGAGAGUUGCUGAUAUAAUCUGU